Long non-coding RNA from Fundulus heteroclitus (mummichog), 418 nucleotides. RefSeq lists it as uncharacterized. The record is from RefSeq and is a predicted model, not a curated record. The transcript has 3 exons. NCBI's taxonomy places the organism in Eukaryota, Metazoa, Chordata, Actinopteri, Cyprinodontiformes, Fundulidae.
GAAUGCACCGCGGCCGCAGCUUGCUUAUGGACAGCGCUAACAGAGAUCACAGUGGGACCACAGAAGGAACCCAGGCCCUCAUCAACUGGCGUAUUCCCAAUGAGGGCCUAUUUACAGGCAGGAGGAACUCCUCCAAAACCGAAUGGCAGACAAGAAGGUAAGAGAUCUUAAUGGCAACUGGCGGGCGAUAGGGCGUCAGGGAGGUGAUUGGGUCCAGGAGGCAUGGGAAUGCACCAUUGCAGUGUAGAAAAAAAAUCCCUUAGGUGGGUAUAAAGCAUUUUUAUAGAACGGAGAGCGCCACAGUACCAGUGAGUGAUGGACAAAGCCUACAUUGUCGAUGUAAACAUUCAAAAUCUUUCCCCGUGCGUCACACACACCCUGCAGGAUGAUUGAAGGGAAGAGUUUUCUGUUUAAAUAA